GAUGAACGCUGGCGGCGUGCCUAAUACAUGCAAGUCGAGCGAACAGACGAGGAGCUUGCUCCUCUGACGUUAGCGGCGGACGGGUGAGUAACACGUGGAUAACCUACCUAUAAGACUGGGAUAACUUCGGGAAACCGGAGCUAAUACCGGAUAACAUGUUGAACCGCAUGGUUUAACAGUGAAAGACGGUCUUGCUGUCACUUAUAGAUGGAUCCGCGCCGCAUUAGCUAGUUGGUAAGGUAACGGCUUACCAAGGCAACGAUGCGUAGCCGACCUGAGAGGGGGAACGGCCACACUGGAACUGAGACACGGUCCAGACUCCUACGGGAGGCAGCAGUAGGGAAUCUUCCGCAAUGGGCGAAAGCCUGACGGAGCAACGCCGCGUGAGUGAAGAAGGUCUUCGGAUCGUAAAACUCUGUUAUUAGGGAAGAACAAAUGUGUAAGUAACUAUGCACGUCUUGACGGUACCUAAUCAGAAAGCCACGGCUAACUACGUG
This 497-nucleotide ribosomal RNA is filed under the name uncultured bacterium. Its description in RNAcentral is "partial 16S ribosomal RNA". It matches the Rfam family "Bacterial small subunit ribosomal RNA", at positions 28 to 507 of the family's 1533-position model. The record is from RNAcentral.